This is a non-coding RNA of Prunus avium (sweet cherry), 892 nucleotides long. Lineage: Eukaryota; Viridiplantae; Streptophyta; Magnoliopsida; Rosales; Rosaceae. The record is from RefSeq and is a predicted model, not a curated record.
UUCUUCGGUUACAAGUGUGUGUUCUUUUUCAUCGUCUACAAGAUUUACCCAUAAGCAAUACCCUCAUUUUUGACAGCGCACAACUAAAUCCUUGGCUCUUGGGAAAGUAAGUUGUAGUCUCUCAUAUCAGCAAAAACAAUUUUCAUAUUUCAGAGGUUAGUGAACUUCCUUGAUCGUCCAUGGCCGAUAAAUCUAUGGACAAUAUUGAGUUGAAGGUCUUGGUGAACAACGUGAGCAACAAAGUGAUCUUUGUAGAGUCUGAUGAUGAUUUUAUUGAUGUUCUCUUCAGUUUCUUGACAGUCCCCAUGGGAACAGUUAUUAGGCUUUCCCAUCGUUCACAACCCUUGGGAAUUGGUUGCAUGGACAACAUAUAUGGAAGUGUGGAGAGUUUUGACUCACAGCUUUUCCGAACUGAAGAAUGUAGAGCCAUGCUGUUACGUCCCCGCAAUAGGACAGAAUAUUUGUUGGACAACCUCAAACUGAAAUUUGAUGAUUGCGAACCCACGCGGUACUUUACGUGUUCUAAUCCACAUUGCAGAAUUUUUCGGAACAGUCUUGUUUUUAGUUAUUACCAAACGGUUCGUUGUCCUCGUUGUGAGCGUCUAAUGGACACGGAGACCACCCUUCCAGUGUCUGGUGCUGAAGAUGGUGAGGUCUUUGUAAAAGGUCCAGCCAGAUUUAUAAUUAGUGAUGAUUUACAAGUGAUGCCCCCAUUUACUUCUACAAGCUCUUCUUUAGUUAAGAACCUCGGAUUCACGGGAUGGAAUAGCAUUGAGGAGUAGACAGUCAAUGUACGAGUUGAUGAGGUUUUGAAGUUGCUUAUGUGCUCAUUAGUAUCAAAGAUGCCUUUGACUGAAACUCUGCUGAAGCAUGAACCCCUCCCAGAAUUGAG